UAAUACGGAGGGGGCAAGCGUUGUUCGGAAUUACUGGGCGUAAAGGGCGCGUAGGCGGCUAAGCAAGUUGGGCGUGAAAGGCCUGGGCUCAACCCGGGGACUGCGCUUGAUACUGCUUGGCUUGAGUACGGGAGAGGAUGGCGGAAUUCCCAGUGUAGAGGUGAAAUUCGUAGAUAUUGGGAAGAACACCGGUGGCGAAGGCGGCCAUCUGGACCGUUACUGACGCUGAGGCGCGAAAGCGUGGGGAGCAAACAGGAUUAGAUACCCUGGUAGUCCACGCCGUAAACGAUGCGUGCUAGACGUCGGGGGGUUACCCUUCGGUGUCGCAGCUAACGCUUUAAGCACGCCGCCUGGGGAGUACGGUCGCAAGAUUA
RNAcentral lists this ribosomal RNA (374 nucleotides) under uncultured bacterium. RNAcentral describes it as "bacterial SSU rRNA". It matches the Rfam family "Bacterial small subunit ribosomal RNA", at positions 521 to 896 of the family's 1533-position model. The record is from RNAcentral.